This 202-nucleotide unclassified non-coding RNA is filed under the name Hevea brasiliensis (rubber tree). The record is from RNAcentral. Lineage: Eukaryota; Viridiplantae; Streptophyta; Magnoliopsida; Malpighiales; Euphorbiaceae.
GCGCCGCAUACCCCGCCGGCGGGUACCCGUAUCCUGCCUGCGGGGGCGGGGCGUACCCGUACCCGCCUUGCGGGGGCGGCGGGUAGCCGUAUCCCGCCGGCGCUGGCCCUGGAUAACCCUGGGGCGGGUACGGGUUCGCAUAGGGCGCCGCCUGCGGCGGCGCAUACCCCGUGCUGGGCCCGGCAGGGUAAGCAGUAACUGG